CUCUAAAGUUAUACAAAAUUAUUCCUCGGCAUCAAGAGAAACAGAGUACAAAGAUACAUGGCCAGGCGUUAUUUAUUGGACCCAUAUCCUACAGGGCUGGCAUCGGGGAUGCGGGUAGCCAAGGAGAAGAAUAAUGACAUCAGCAGUGACAACAGGCUGGAAGCAGUAAAGAACAUAAAACAGAGUAGCUGAGAUAAUAGGGGGCAAAUGCAACAAGCGGCCGCUGGACUCUAGAAGAAGAGGCCGCUGCCACUUCUUAGGAGGAACUAGUUCUUUGGUGGGAGACAGAACGAGAAUCAUUGACAGCUGUUACUCACAUUCCUCAUGGCAGCUGCUUGUCCUCCAGAAGUUCAAAGGGUCGUACUCUUCACCUACGCUGGAGUGCAGUGGCACGAUCAUGUCUCACUAUAGCCUCGAUUUCCUGGACUCCGGUUAUUCUCCCACCUCAGCCUCCUAACUGGCUGGGACCACAGAUAAUGUUAGUUUUGAUCAGGAUUCACACAGAAGAACCAGGAAACAUUGAAAAAGGCCUCAGCAUGUACAUAAUCAGGUCGCAUGGAGAACUGGAACUCAACAAGAAUUCAAGCUACUCUGGAUGCACAACAACAAUUCCGGUAGUAAAUUAUUCCUGCAACUCAGUUUCAAUCUCUCUAUGUAAUUCUUUCUCUACUUCUGUUUCCACUAUUGACUGAGACUUGAGCUAACUGACUUCUGUUUUUGCAGUUAUUCCUGUAUUAUGGCUCUUGUUUACUGAAAACUCUUCGUGACUUUUCUUCUGUGCUGCUAUGUCUUCUGAGUCUCUCUAUUCUUUGUAUUCAAGUUCUUCAAGAAAAACCAUCUAGUCGGACAAAUAAUUAUAGUACGGUAUAGAGUACCUACAUUGAAUGGGUGUCUAAGUUUAGGACAUACCUCAAAGGCUGUAGUAGAUAAGUAGGUAAGUUGAUAAGGGUCAUUGUAGGGUUGAGUGCCUUUGGUGUUGGUAUAAUGGGGUCUAAAGCUUAGUUACAUAGGGGUUAGAAUCAAGCAUCUUUGGUUAUGUAAAAGUCACUUAUUUCUUUUAUGAGCAUCGAAUUGUGAGUAGACAAUUCAGGCAAGUUAAUGAGUGAUAUGAAAGAAAGAAAUAACUAAGAGAAGGAGGAGGAGGAAGAGCAGGAACAAGUGGCUUGGGAAAAGUAUAUUACAGUAAUACUUGGCAUGCUUUAUAUGUUUUAUUUGAAACUGAUAAUAAUAUAACUUUCUAGGAAGAAUUAUUUUUUAGCUCUUGAAGAAACCAAGGUAUUAAAAUUGUCAAUCACAUUGCCAAACAAAAAUACAACAUAUAAUAAUCAAAAUUAGAAAUAUGAUAAUAGG
Molecule: non-coding RNA, 1350 nt
Organism: Chlorocebus sabaeus (green monkey)
Lineage: Eukaryota; Metazoa; Chordata; Mammalia; Primates; Cercopithecidae
Source: RefSeq, a predicted model, not a curated record